UCUCAAAUGGUGGAUGAUGUGAAAAAGAAUUUAGAUGAACAACGCCACAUAUGGAGCACUAAAGGUUGCACCAUCAUGAUUGAUGGUUGGAUGGAUAGGAGAAAUAGAACUCUCCUUAAUUUUCUUGUUUCUUCCGCAGGGGGCACCGUUUUCAUCAAGUCCAUUGAUGCCUCCGCCCAUUGCAAGAAUGCCACCUACCUAUGUGAGCAGAUAGAGGAGGUGAUUGAAGAUGUGGGUGAGGAGAACGUGGUAUAGGUGGUGACCGACAAUGCAGCAAAUUAUGUUGCUGCGGGUAGACUAUUGAUGGAGAGGCACCCAUCUAUAGUUUGGACUCCAUGUGCUGCUCAUUGCAUUGACCUCAUGUUGGAGGAUAUUGGAAAAAUCCCAUGGGUCAAGAAAUGUGUAGAAAGGGCAAGAAAUGUCUGCAAAUUUGUAUAUAAUCAUUCAUGGGUGUUGGCUCUUAUGAGACAAUACACAGAGCAGAAGGAGUUGCAUCGUCCAGGAAUCACAAGAUU
Long non-coding RNA from Cryptomeria japonica (Japanese cedar), 515 nucleotides. RefSeq lists it as uncharacterized. Lineage: Eukaryota; Viridiplantae; Streptophyta; Pinopsida; Cupressales; Cupressaceae. The transcript has 3 exons. The record is from RefSeq and is a predicted model, not a curated record.